GAUGAACGCUGGCGGCGUGCCUAAUACAUGCAAGUCGAGCGAACGGACGAUAAGCUCGCUCUCUUGCUGUUAGCGGCGGACGGGCGAGUAACAAGUGGAUCACCUUCUUCUUUGUCUGGGAUAACUUCGGAAAACCGGUGCUACUACUAGCUCAUACUUUGUACGGCUUGGUUCAAAAGUUCUUGACGCUUUUGCCGACUCUUAUAGCUGGAUCCGCGCUGCAUUAGCUAGUUGGUAAGGUAACGGCUUACCAAGGCGACGAUGCGUAGCCGACCUGAGAGGAUGAUCAGCCACACUGGAACUGAGACACGGUCCAGACUCCUACGGGAGGCAGCAGUGGGGAAUCUUCGGCAAUGGGCGAAAGCCUGACCCAGCAACACCGCGUGAGUGAUGAAGGCCUUCGGAUUGUAAAGCUCUUUUGUUGGGAAAGAACAGCUGUGGAUGUAUAUCUGCACGUCUUGACGGUACCUAAUGAAUAAGCCACGGCUAACUACGUG
This 497-nucleotide ribosomal RNA is filed under the name uncultured bacterium. Its description in RNAcentral is "partial 16S ribosomal RNA". It matches the Rfam family "Bacterial small subunit ribosomal RNA", at positions 28 to 507 of the family's 1533-position model. The record is from RNAcentral.